Molecule: long non-coding RNA, 567 nt
Organism: Ostrea edulis (European flat oyster)
Lineage: Eukaryota; Metazoa; Mollusca; Bivalvia; Ostreida; Ostreidae
Exons: 2
Source: RefSeq, a predicted model, not a curated record
UCACAAUUUAACAAGAUGUGUUAGUGAAACACAAUGCCCCCGAUAAUGGCCAAUUCCGAAGAUGGCCAAAGUCUCAAUAUACCUGGCGAAUUGCCAAUACGAAGCUAAAGUGACCAGGGUUAAAAUGUAAAUAUGCUAAAAGAGUAUUUUAUAGAAUUUAAAUAAUUUCAUUGUUAUUAAAAUCUGUAUUAAUAUACGGAGGUGACCAUUCGACAUUGAUCCAGUGCCUUUUUAUGGGAUUCGAAACUGUGACUGUGAGAUGUAUGAAAGUUUGACUUCUAGGCGGGCAAUUCUACUUUCACUUUAAAUGGUAAGUUGAAAAGAGCAUGCUGCAUCUUUGAUGUAAAAUAUCUCGAAAAGGAAUCAAGGACCCUAUUGCAAAUUUGGCCUUGUUGGAAAGGAUGGCAGGUGCCUGAGUGUAUCCCGACCCAUUUCCAGGCUAGUAUCAGAUGUCAUGAUGGACCUUUAAAAUCUUUCACAUGUGUACUUUCAAGAACCAUAUACAUUAUUUUUGAAAAUUGGUUGCCAUGGUAAUAAAAUCUGAAAAUUAAAACAUGGGCUUCUGAA